UACAGAGGGGGCAAGCGUUGUUCGGAAUUACUGGGCGUAAAGGGCUCGUAGGUGGCCAACUCAGUCGGAUGUGAAAUCCCCAGGCUCAACUUGGGAACUGCAUCCGAUACUGGAUGGCUUGAAUCCGGGAGAGGGAUGCAGAAUUCCAGGUGUAGCGGUGAAAUGCGUAGAUAUCUGGAGGAAUACCGGUGGCGAAGGCGGCAUCCUGGACCGGAAUUGACACUGAGGAGCGAAAGCCAGGGGAGCAAACGGG
RNAcentral lists this ribosomal RNA (253 nucleotides) under uncultured bacterium. RNAcentral's name for it is "partial 16S ribosomal RNA". It matches the Rfam family "Bacterial small subunit ribosomal RNA", at positions 524 to 776 of the family's 1533-position model. The record is from RNAcentral.